This 293-nucleotide long non-coding RNA is filed under the name Brassica napus (rape). RNAcentral's name for it is "long non-coding RNA (BNAP_LNC027163)". Lineage: Eukaryota; Viridiplantae; Streptophyta; Magnoliopsida; Brassicales; Brassicaceae. The record is from RNAcentral.
GGUGUAUUCCGGUGAAACAUGUGUUCGUUUCGUCUUUCUCCGGUGAUGACUCGUAGUUUGAAUCAAGAUGUGGUGACCUAGUGACGCGUGUCCCUUGAUGGCGAGGUCUCAACGCGUGUACGUCCAAGUGAAUUUCCCCGAUGCGUGGUAACGUAUGGCGCCGAUCGGGUUUUCUUUUUUGAGCUUAAUUGUCCUUGUGUUUUGGGCUUUCUGUUUAAUACGUUUGGGCUUUAUGCUGGGCUUAGAUCCUUAUGGUGUUGUAUCUUUUUGUUGUGAUACUUUUAAGAUAAAUG